Non-coding RNA from Salmo salar (Atlantic salmon), 72 nucleotides. The record is from Rfam. Lineage: Eukaryota; Metazoa; Chordata; Actinopteri; Salmoniformes; Salmonidae.
UCCCGUGUAGCUCAGUUGGUAGAGCAUGGAGCUUGCAAUGCCAGGGUUGUGGGUUCAAUUCCCACAGGGGAC